UCUUGGCCUCAAGCAAUCCUUCCUCUUUGGCCUCCCAACUUGUUGGGAUUACAGAUGGGAGCCCUCAUACCCACCAAUCACAAGGAUCUUUAUAAGAGAAGGAGGUAGGAGAGUCAGAAUUAGAGAAAGUGAUGUGGUAAUGGAAGAAGAGGUCAGAGAGGGAGAUUUGAAGAUGCUGCACUUCUGGCCUUGAAUAUGGAGUCACGAGAAACAGGACCUUGCCCUGUCACUCAGGAUGGAGUUCAAUGGUCCUAUCAUGGCUCAUUAUAGCCUUAAACUCCCAGGCUCAAGCAAUCCUACCAUGUCAGCCUUCCCAGUAGCUGGGACUACAGGAAGUGACCUCACAAUGACUCAAGCUACCACAUACUGUUGAUUGUGAAAUGCCAGUUGAAGCAUAUGUCCUGCGAGCUUAGGGGUGCUACAAGUUGACCACUGCAGCAGUAAAGAUGACUCUGAAGAAUGGCAUGGGAUGGAUCCUUUCGAAUGCACUUGAGCAGCGGUCUCCAACCACAGGGCCACAGAGCUGGAGCUGGAUCUACCAUGAAAGACUUCUGAAUCCAGGAAGAGAGACUGACUGGGCAACAUGUUAUUCAGGGUCUCCCUCUGUUGUCCAAGGCUGGAGUGUAGUAGUGCUA
RNAcentral lists this long non-coding RNA (635 nucleotides) under Homo sapiens (human). RNAcentral describes it as "HSALNT0321707". The record is from RNAcentral. Lineage: Eukaryota; Metazoa; Chordata; Mammalia; Primates; Hominidae.